UAUCAUAUGUAAUGUUGGAUAUUUAGCUGUUUUUUUUUUUUUUUUUGUAAACUAGGAGGGGGUUUGGGUUUGAGAUUUAAUCCCCCAAGACCCGAAACCAACCUUUGCUAAUACCUGGUAACAUGGUGUAAAACAUCCCUCCCACCUGGAAUCGAACUAGAAGUACAUGAGACCAACCCCUGCAGUUAACCACUAGCCCAC
Molecule: long non-coding RNA, 201 nt
Filed under: Eutrema salsugineum
Lineage: Eukaryota; Viridiplantae; Streptophyta; Magnoliopsida; Brassicales; Brassicaceae
Description: long non-coding RNA (ESAL_LNC000881)
Source: RNAcentral